RNAcentral lists this ribosomal RNA (253 nucleotides) under uncultured bacterium. RNAcentral describes it as "partial 16S ribosomal RNA". It matches the Rfam family "Bacterial small subunit ribosomal RNA", at positions 524 to 776 of the family's 1533-position model. The record is from RNAcentral.
UACAGAGGGGGCAAGCGUUAUUCGGAAUUAUUGGGCGUAAAGAGCUCGUAGGCGGCUUGUUACGUCGGUUGUGAAAGCCCGGGGCUCAACCCCGGGUCUGCAGUCGAUACGGGCAGGCUGGAGUGUGGUAGGGGAGAUCGGAAUUCCUGGUGUAGCGGUGAAAUGCGCAGAUAUCAGGAGGAACACCGGUGGCGAAGGCGGAUCUCUGGGCCAUUACUGACGCUGAGGAGCGAAAGCGUGGGGAGCGAACAGG